This 72-nucleotide transfer RNA is filed under the name Synodus foetens (inshore lizardfish). RNAcentral's name for it is "tRNA-Ile". It matches the Rfam family "tRNA". Rfam says of the family: Transfer RNA (tRNA) molecules are approximately 80 nucleotides in length. Their secondary structure includes four short double-helical elements and three loops (D, anti-codon, and T loops). Lineage: Eukaryota; Metazoa; Chordata; Actinopteri; Aulopiformes; Synodontidae. The record is from RNAcentral.
GGGCCCGUGCCUGAAUGCCUAAGGAACACCUUGAUAGGGUGAACUAUGGGGGUUAAAAUCCUCCCAGGCCCU